RNAcentral lists this ribosomal RNA (873 nucleotides) under uncultured bacterium. RNAcentral's name for it is "bacterial SSU rRNA". It matches the Rfam family "Bacterial small subunit ribosomal RNA", at positions 21 to 891 of the family's 1533-position model. The record is from RNAcentral.
GGCUCAGAACGAACGCUGGCGGCGCGCCUAAUACAUGCAAGUCGAGCGAGAAGACGUAGCAAUACGUUUGUAAAGCGGCGAACGGGUGAGGAAUACAUGGGUAACCUACCCUCGAGUGGGGAAUAACUAGCCGAAAGGUUAGCUAAUACCGCAUACGACUCCUGGUCUGCGGAUCGGGAGGGAAAGCGAUACCGUGGGUAUCGCGCUCUUGGAUGGGCUCAUGUCCUAUCAGCUUGUUGGUGAGGUAACGGCUCACCAAGGCUUCGACGGGUAGCUGGUCUGAGAGGACGAUCAGCCACACUGGCACUGCGACACGGGCCAGACUCCUACGGGAGGCAGCAGUAAGGAAUAUUGCGCAAUGGGCGACAGCCUGACGCAGCGACGCCGCGUGGGGGAUGAAGGUCUUCGGAUUGUAAACCCCUUUCGGGAGGGAAGAUGGAACGGGUAACCGUUCGGACGGUACCUCCAGAAGCAGCCACGGCUAACUUCGUGCCAGCAGCCGCGGUAAUACGAAGGUGGCAAGCGUUGUUCGGAUUUACUGGGCGUACAGGGAGCGUAGGCGGUUGGGUAAGCCCUCCGUGAAAUCUCCGGGCCUAACCCGGAAAGGGCGGAGGGGACUGCUCGGCUAGAGGAUGGGAGAGGAGCGCGGAAUUCCCGGUGUAGCGGUGAAAUGCGUAGAGAUCGGGAGGAAGGCCGGUGGCGAAGGCGGCGCUCUGGAACAUUUCUGACGCUGAGGCUCGAAAGCGUGGGGAGCAAACAGGAUUAGAUACCCUGGUAGUCCACGCCUUAAACGAUGGAUACUAAGUGUCGGCGGGUUACCGCCGGUGCCGCAGCUAACGCAGUAAGUAUCCCGCCUGGGAAGUACGGCCGCAG